GUAUACAGGUUCUUAAAUAGCAGAAAAAAUUUAGGCUGUUUAUAGGCUAUUUUAGGUCCAAUAACUGCCACUAAAAUGUUAUUUUUAAAAUGUCAUUAAAACAGGGAUACAGCUUUGGAAUGACUGACAAUGCCAGGGAGGUAGUACAAACUCAAUCAGAUCCUCACAAAGGGGAACACUCACUAUGUUUGGAGUGUGUCAUCCCCUGAAAGAUGGCCAACAAGUAAUAUUGAUUUGGGGAGAAAGGGGAGUUUACAUUUUCUCAUCCCAAGUCAUAAAGAAUUAUUAUUUACCAAUGUGUAGAUGGAAUCAUUGAUAUUUUAUAAUAUUAAAGUGUGUUCAGAAAGACAUAGGGAACUGUCUACACCAAUAGAUCACAGUCUUUCUUAGUAGAUAAGGUCAUAGUACCUUAGAGUCACAACUGGAAGAUCAUUUAGUCUAAUUCCCUCCUUUUUCAGAUAAUGAAUUAAGGAUAAGCAGGAAUUAGUGUAUUGCUCAAGGACAUAGGAGGACUUUUUGGUAUGUAAACUCAGGUUCCCUCAGUACAGUACUGUAGUGAGAUAUCAAAACACAUUGCUGAUAAGGGAAUUGUCUAAUUCAGCAGAAUAAUCAGCAGACAAGAAUGAAACCUAAGUAAAUGUUUGUAACUUCAAGCCCAGGACUUCAUCCAUUAAAACAUAAGUCCAAAAAUAUAGCACUUAGAAUUUGCUUAUAUUUAACAUAAUCCACCUUUUUUAGUCAUUUACUUUUAAUUAUACUAACAGCUUUUCAAAUGUCUAAUAUAUGGCAAAGCCUAUUUGAAACAAUAUAAAUUUGACUUCCCAAUACAAAUAAUAUUGGUCAAAUCAAAUCAGUGUCUGUUCCACCAGAUAAUUUCACACAUGCUUCUUGGAUGUCAGUCAAUAGUUAAUUUAUUGAUUGCUCUCCAUGUGCCAAGUCUUGGGCCAAGCAGUGGGGAUACAAAAAAGAACAAAGGACAGGCCUUCCCUAAAGGGGCUCACAAUCUCAUUGAGGAGACAACAGGCAAACAAAUAUGUGGCAAACAAACUAUAUACAGGAUAAAGGAGUAAUUGAGAGGGAAAGCGCUAGAAUUAAGAAGGAUUAAAAAAGGUUUUCUGUGAAAGGUGGGAAUUGUUUUGGGGCUUGGAGAAAACCCGGAAAUAGAAGUGAGAAGGGAAGAACUUUCCAGGCAUGAGAGAAACCAGAGAAAUUUCCUUGAGCCAUGAUGAUAGUCAUGUUCAGACUAUAGUCAGGAGACCAGUAUCACAAUAUGUAGAUAUUAUAAGGUAAGAAUAUACUAGAAAGGUAUAACUAAGUCAUGAAGGGCUUUGAAUGUCAGAGGAUUCUAUAUUUGUUCCUAUAAGUAACAAAGCUAUUAUAGUUUAUUAAGUGUGGAGUUGGAGUGUUGACAUGGUUGGACCUGUGGUUUUGGAAAGUCACUUUGGUUGACGGAAUGGACAGUAGAUUGAAGAAAGACUUAAGGUAGACAAAUCUACCAGCAAGCUAUUGCAGUAAUCUAAACCUGAGGUGAUGAGGACUUCCACCAAUAUGAUGACAGGAGGAAAGGGGAUAUAUUUGAGAGACCAAGUUGCAAAGGUCAAAUCAAUAGGCCUUGGCAACAGAUUAGAUAUGAUUAUUAACCUUGUCAGUUAUUACAAUGGUUGUCACUAAAUUUCUGGUGAUGGCAGCUUAAUGAAUGAAGAACUGAUCAUUAGUAUUAAAAAAUUUUUACUUUUUCUUAGUCACUUUUUGAAAAGUUCAAUUCUAAUCUUUCAAAACUGAUCUAAGAUUAAGAAGCAUGAUGAGUUUUAACAUGUAUUUGUAAAUUCUUCAUAUUGUUUUGUAAAUGAACCAUGAAAAAUCAUGUAUUCUACCCUUCUUGCCUUAGAAGAUGGAUAAAUAAAACUGUCCUUUUCGGAGAAAGCACC
Molecule: long non-coding RNA, 1928 nt
Organism: Sarcophilus harrisii (Tasmanian devil)
Lineage: Eukaryota; Metazoa; Chordata; Mammalia; Dasyuromorphia; Dasyuridae
Source: Ensembl